This 467-nucleotide ribosomal RNA is filed under the name uncultured bacterium. RNAcentral's name for it is "partial 16S ribosomal RNA". It matches the Rfam family "Bacterial small subunit ribosomal RNA", at positions 28 to 506 of the family's 1533-position model. The record is from RNAcentral.
GACGAACGCUGGCGGCGUGCUUAACACAUGCAAGUCGAACGGAAAGGCCCUGCUUUUGUGGGGUGCUCGAGUGGCGAACGGGUGAGUAACACGUGAGUAACCUGCCCUUGACUUUGGGAUAACUUCAGGAAACUGGGGCUAAUACCGGAUAGGAGCUCCUGCUGCAUGGUGGGGGUUGGAAAGUUUCGGCGGUUGGGGAUGGACUCGCGGCUUAUCAGCUUGUUGGUGGGGUAGUGGCUUACCAAGGCUUUGACGGGUAGCCGGCCUGAGAGGGUGACCGGCCACAUGGGGAAUGGGAUACGGCCCAGACCCCUACGGGGGGGAGGAGGGGGGAAAAUUGCAAAAGGGGGGGAAGCCGGAUGCAGCAACCCCGCGGGGGGGAAGGCGGCCUUCGGGUGGUAACCCGCUUUCCCCUGGGAAGAAGGGGGGGUGACGGUAAUGGGUAAAGAAGCACCGGCUAACUACGU